This 1006-nucleotide long non-coding RNA is filed under the name Phaseolus vulgaris (common bean). RNAcentral's name for it is "long non-coding RNA (PVUL_LNC002418)". The record is from RNAcentral. Lineage: Eukaryota; Viridiplantae; Streptophyta; Magnoliopsida; Fabales; Fabaceae.
AAGAAGAGAAGAAGAAGAAGAAGGAGUCAACGGAAGACAUGGUUGGAAAACGAGAGGAACCACGUCAGGAGCAGGUCCACUUGGAGAUGGUGAAGCCUACGGUAAGACAAAUGUCGUUUUAAGGACGAAGACACCCUCGUAAUUAUUUACUAUUUCAAGAUAAUAAAUUUCAUUCUUCUCGUCUAAUUUUUUUAUUUAUUUGCUUAAUUAAGUUUUAAACAUCUUAUAAAUUUAACUUGCUUUUAUUAUUUACAUUUAAAAUAUGUUUUUAUUUGUUAGUAGGGAUCAGUGAAGCUCAAACACACAGACUGUCAACUAAUAUAUAUUAUGGGUGAUCCGAUAGCGGCCCAAUAGUGGGUGGCACGAUAGGCCCAACAUAUAUUCGCUAUGAUAGAAGUGGACUUUAAGCCUAACUCAACCCCAUAAAGCUGGCUCAUAAGGUUGAGGUUUGCACCCACUUAUAUACAAUGAAAGACUUUAAUCUCUAGUCGAUUUGGGAUCUCUAACACUUGUGCACAUAAAUCUUUAUGGUCAAUUUAUAUAAUUUAUAAUUAUAUGAUAUAUAGAUAUGUGUCCCUGUAUCCUACACUUUAGAGAUUUUGUGUAUCCUACAUUUUAGAAAUUUUGUGUAUCUCCGCCUCCGUGUCUUAUCCGCAUUAGUGUUUAUGCUAAGAUAGGUAGAGAUAUGUUUUUGUAAAUUAUGUAUUAUAAAUUAAAAUAUUAUUAAAAAUUAAAUAAAAAUUGUCUGCAUCAAUGUUAGAAAUCUGGUUGUUUUUGGUGCUGCAAUUGGUUGUUAGGACGUGGACAUUUGCUUGGGGAAAGGUCCUAAUAUUGACCAGCAGCUCAACCAAACACUGUUUUAUAUAAACUUCUUCAUUCAUUUUCUAUUAGAGUAGAGAUUCAUAAUAAUUUAUAUAUUCUUUAAUUUUUAAAAAUAUUUUUCUAAAAAAAAAUUGUGAUGAAAUUUUAAAUUUUAAAACUCUUAAAUCUCAACUUAUUAUCCUUU